Molecule: unclassified non-coding RNA, 228 nt
Filed under: uncultured fungus
Lineage: Eukaryota; Fungi
Description: sequence contains ITS2
Source: RNAcentral
AACUUAUCAACCGUGACUUGGGUUUAGGCCCCUGGCUCGGCUUGGAUUUGGGUGCUUGCGGUCCUCGGGCCGCUCACCUCAAAAGGAUUAGCUGGACAUGUCGUGAGACUUGGUUCUACUUGGCGUAAUAAGUAUUUCGCUGAGGACAUCCCCUCGUGGGGUGGCCAUGCCUCUGGUGCAAAGGUCUGCUUUCUAACCCGAUCGUCCUCGGACAUCAACUCUUUUAUG